GUGUCCGUAGCUCAGCUGGAUAGAGUGUCGGCCUCCGGAGCCGAAGGCCGCGGGUUCGAAUCCCGCCGGGCACGCCA
This 77-nucleotide transfer RNA is filed under the name Eubacteriales Family XIII. Incertae Sedis bacterium. Its description in RNAcentral is "tRNA-Arg". It matches the Rfam family "tRNA". Rfam says of the family: Transfer RNA (tRNA) molecules are approximately 80 nucleotides in length. Their secondary structure includes four short double-helical elements and three loops (D, anti-codon, and T loops). Lineage: Bacteria; Bacillati; Bacillota; Clostridia; Peptostreptococcales; Anaerovoracaceae. The record is from RNAcentral.